RNAcentral lists this ribosomal RNA (356 nucleotides) under uncultured bacterium. RNAcentral's name for it is "partial 16S ribosomal RNA". It matches the Rfam family "Bacterial small subunit ribosomal RNA", at positions 338 to 692 of the family's 1533-position model. The record is from RNAcentral.
CCUACGAGUGGCAGCAGUGAGGAAUAUUGGUCCAUGGUCGGGAGACUGAACCAGCCAAGCCGCGGUAGGGAUGAAGGUACAGAGUAUCGUAAACCUCUUUUGUCAGGGAACAAAGGCGGGGACGCGUCCCCGGAUGAGUGUACCUGAAGAAAAAGCAUCGGCUAACUCCGUGCCAGCAGCCGCGGUAAUACGGAGGAUGCGAGCGUUAUCCGGAUUUAUUGGGUGUAAAGGGUGCGCAGGCGGUCUGUUAAGUCAGCGGUCAAAGCCCGGGGCUACACCCCGGCCCGCCGUUGAAACUGGCAGUCUCGAGGUGGAGAGAAGGAUGUGGAAUGCGCGGUGGAGCGGUGAAAUGCAUA